UGGCGGACGGGUGAGUAAUGUCUGGGAAACUGCCCGAUGGAGGGGGGUAACUACUGGAAACGGUAGCUAAUACCGCAUAACGUCGCAAGACCAAAGAGGGGGAUCUUCGGGCCUCUUGCCAUCGGAUGUGCCCAGAUGGGAUUAGCUAGUAGGUGGGGUAACGGCUCACCUAGGCGACGAUCCCUAGCUGGUCUGAGAGGAUGACCAGCCACACUGGAACUGAGACACGGUCCAG
This 235-nucleotide ribosomal RNA is filed under the name uncultured bacterium. RNAcentral describes it as "partial 16S ribosomal RNA". It matches the Rfam family "Bacterial small subunit ribosomal RNA", at positions 96 to 334 of the family's 1533-position model. The record is from RNAcentral.